Molecule: long non-coding RNA, 465 nt
Organism: Eubalaena glacialis (North Atlantic right whale)
Lineage: Eukaryota; Metazoa; Chordata; Mammalia; Artiodactyla; Balaenidae
Exons: 4
Source: RefSeq, a predicted model, not a curated record
CAGGAGCCAGGUCUUCCUGGGCGAGAGGUCUGGAGUUUUGGUCACAGCUGCCCCUCAGGGGCGAGUGCAGUGGAAGCUGAACCCUUCGCGGGGCCGGGCUGGCAGGCACCGUGCUCCCCUCCUCCUCCGCCGGCGUCCGUGUCAAGGCCAAGAUUAGUAACGAAUGUUUGAGACUUAAGCUGGGACUCACUGGCAGCCCUCUAAUGCACUGACAACGUUCUAAAGAUUACAGAAAUGAAAUUUGCGCUGAAGAGGAAAGCAAGAACCAUACUGAUACUCCAAGAUCUUCCUAGCUCCUCAGAAAGGUUUAAAGCCAGUGUCACACCUGGAUAACUUUCCUUGCCAUGUUUCUGGGGAGCAAGGUUAACCCCAGGGGAAGUUGGCAGCUUUCCAUAAAGUUGAAGAAGCCGGACACACGACAUGCCUCGCUGUGGGAGGAUUGACGUCCACCUUGAGGGGCGACAG